Long non-coding RNA from Pipistrellus kuhlii (Kuhl's pipistrelle), 2198 nucleotides. RefSeq lists it as uncharacterized. The transcript has 3 exons. The record is from RefSeq and is a predicted model, not a curated record. Lineage: Eukaryota; Metazoa; Chordata; Mammalia; Chiroptera; Vespertilionidae.
CCUGGAAAAAGAACUUUCUAAAGAUUUUGUGUGUGGUUUUUUUAUUUUUUAUUUUUAACACAAAUGUCCUAUUUGCACUGGAUAUGACAUAAUGCAGUAGUCAUGGGGAUUGUGAUUAUAAUGUACUUGGCAUAAUGGCUCUGGGUAAUGGGAUUGUGUCUGUGAUGUUGAAAGUAAUUGACUAAAGGGUCUUUGAAGAGGUGCCUGGAAGUACCCUAGGUACAGAUAAUCGGAACCUGGACAAAGUGAGAAGGAAACAGGGGAGCCCUAGUUGGAUUUGAAUGUUGCUCUCAAGGAGAAAGUUGACAGACAGUGAUUUUCCCUCAAGAGUUCCAAGGUCAGUGACAUGGUCCAUGUGAUUAGAAAAAUUAGGCAAACUUUCUCUUACAGUAUGGUGUGAUAGUACUCUGUAUUGAUUGUGCAAACUGUAUUUGUACAUAUAUCUCGAUGGCUGGGAAAGGUAUUCUCAGUGUUCUCUCCCCUCCCCCCCUCCUGCUAAUACCAAUAAAUGGGCUGAUACACCUACAUCUUCCCAUCUGCCAUGGAAAGGGAGCUUUAAGGAAUCUUGCCUUUAUCAGUUUCACACACCAGAAAAAUAAAUAUAUUGUAUAGAUUGAAGAAGUAGCAAAUUUACUCUUUAUUUUAAACAAUAAGACAGAGUAGAAAGAAGGAUGAAAGUUGAUGGAAUUUUACUUUGUCUUGACAAUUAUUGAAUACUAGUACUCUUACCAGGCAAUUUGAGUUUUUAUUUGUCACUGAUAUUAAUGCCAUAGUAUUGUGUCUCUGGGGAAAUAGCACACAUUAAGACUCUUUCAUAAUUAAUUGUAUAAAUGAUUGUUUUCAAAUGCACUGAAGUUCAUUUUUUUUUAAAUUUCUAAAUUGUAUUAAUCCCUACCUUCUGUGUAGAAUUUUUAAAGAUAACAUGAGACAACCCUUAGCAAAGUGGCAUGCACACAGUAAGGCCUUUUUUUCUUAUCUAUGCACAUUUUGAUUUCCCCUUAAAUGAACAGAAUGGCCUCAGAAUUAGAAAUCUCACUUUUAUAAGUACUGAAAAGUACUUAUAUAAGUACUUUGAAAGAAUCUAUAACUGAUUAUCUUGUCUAAGAUAAUAGAUUUGUUCUCUUUUGUAAUAAAACCCUAAAGGGACUAUGUAUUUUUUUGAUAAGUACACAGCAUAAUACUUGCACACUCUUAAGUAUGAUGAAAUUAAAGACUCAUAUAAACGCCGUGGCUUCUAGUAGAUAUCAUAGAUAUUGUCAUGUAUUAGAGUAACUUUUGGAGAAGAUCAUUAUUUAAGGGAUAUUGAAAUAUUUCAAGUUGAACUCUGAUUUGGUCAUUCUAUGUUACUACCUUCAUUUCUAAUUUUUCUACUUCUUGAAUCUGAGUGCCUCAUACAUAUCAAACUGAGUAUUUAUUAAAAGUUUAUAGGUUCAUAGGAUUGAAGUCCUUACAGAUAAGCCCUUUCCUUACACCAGGAUGUUUGUAUUCUAAUUGCCAAGAUGAAUAAUAUUUACAAGAAUUGGUAAUAUAAGGGUAGUAACUAAAGUGAGAAUAAGGGCUUUUAAUUUUUCAAAUUUGAAUAUUAAGUGUAAAAUGGAAUGUGCUAUUUUUUAAGGAGAGUUGGAGAAGAACCCAAAUCUCAUAAAGUAUGACUAUGAGUAACUAGAUUCCAAAGGAAAUGACUCAGCAACCAGGCCACAGUUCAGUAGGUGCGAUUGAGUGUAGACCAGGAGAUUGAUCCUCUCCCCCUCCCCACCUUGGGUUGGAGCAGGAGUUUUCCACUCACAACAAACAAACAGGUGUUAUUCUAUCCCGUUUUAUUCUUAAUUACUAGUACGUGACACAAGACAUUAACUGAUAAUGUACAUCACUAAAAUACUAGAUUCAAGGCAGAAACAUUUCUAUUAAAUGUCAUUUUUAGUAAAACAUGACAUAAAAUACAAGAGACUUGUGUUGAGUAGAAUCUACAACAGCUAAUGUGAUGAAUCCAGUAGUGCUCUGGGUCUGUGGCCUCCUAACAGUUCUGCCAACUUUCCACUAUAAAUCCUUUCAGGGGUUACCCCCUCGGUCAAAAUAAUCUCCCCAGUCCAGUUGCCUUUACUCGGCUACUUGCUUUAAUUAAAAAGAUUGUUAGGCCCUAGCCAAUUUGGCUCAGUGGAAACGGGUCGGCCUGUGGUCUAAAGGGUUCUGGGUUUGAU